This 245-nucleotide ribosomal RNA is filed under the name uncultured Lactobacillus sp. RNAcentral describes it as "partial 16S ribosomal RNA". It matches the Rfam family "Bacterial small subunit ribosomal RNA", at positions 116 to 355 of the family's 1533-position model. The record is from RNAcentral. Lineage: Bacteria; Bacillati; Bacillota; Bacilli; Lactobacillales; Lactobacillaceae.
CGUGGGUAACCUGCCCAAGAGAUCGGGAUAACACCUGGAAACAGAUGCUAAUACCGGAUAACAACAGAUGAUGCCUAUCAACUGUUUAAAAGAUGGUUCUGCUAUCACUCUUGGAUGGACCUGCGGUGCAUUAGCUAGUUGUAGGGUAACGGCCUACCAAGGCGAUGAUGCAUAGCCGAGUUGAGAGACUGAUCGGCCACAUUGGGACUGAGACACGGCCCAAACUCCUACGGGAGGCAGCAGCC